AAGACAAAAGACUAACAGCCAAGUGAAUCAGAUUAUUUCAACAGAACGUCUGAUUCAGAAAGCUGUACAAAUAUACACACAGUUUCAACAGUCACACCAAUCUCCUUAUCACCAGCAACACAUUGCGCAGUCACUAGGCCCAAACACACACACAGGAUCCUCACAUGCUCAACAAUAUCACGACGUCGCACACACAAAAUUAAAUCAAAAAAACCACCAAAGACUAUACACUUAUCAAUGUAACUAUUAUUCAAACCAUACAACUAUCCACGCUAUUAAUCCAUAUAAACUAACCGAUCACAUAACAUUUCAACAAAUUCAUCUCUACAAUUAUCUGUACUAUAAAUCAACUUUUGACUAACCAACUAUAUCACAUUCU
Non-coding RNA from Pelobates cultripes (western spadefoot toad), 379 nucleotides. The record is from the annotation of a GenBank genome assembly. Lineage: Eukaryota; Metazoa; Chordata; Amphibia; Anura; Pelobatidae.